Molecule: long non-coding RNA, 742 nt
Filed under: Homo sapiens (human)
Lineage: Eukaryota; Metazoa; Chordata; Mammalia; Primates; Hominidae
Description: non-protein coding lnc-PTBP2-7:1
Source: RNAcentral
GAUCUCAACAGUCCCUUCAAGCCUCCACCAGGCAGUGUGAGGAUGCCUAACAUACCCAAUACACAACCAGCAAUAAUGAAACCAACAGAGAAACAUCCAGUUUAUACGCUGAUUGCAAAAAAACAUGCAUUGGCCCAAGCUGAACUUAAACACCAGGAAGAAGUAGAAAGAAAAGAUGCAGAAUUAGUCAUCGGGAAUGAGAAAUGCAAAACCUCACUCAACAUGGUAGAAAAAAUAAUUGGCCACUUCUUCUUAGCAAUUUUCCUAUAGAACCUUGUUUCUAUCAGGAUUUUUCUGUUGACAUUCCUAUAGAAUUCCAAAAGACAGUAAAGCUUAUAUACUACUUGUGGAUGUUCCAUGCUGUAACACUAUUUCUAAAUAUCUUCAGAUGCUUGUCUUGGUUUUGUGUUGAUUUUGCAAGAGUGGUUGAUUUUAGUUUGAGUAUCCUGUGGUUCUUGCUUUUUACUCCUUGUUAAUUUGUCUGUUGGUACAGAUCACUUUAUGGAGCUUUCAGGAGUGGCAGUUCAUUCAGACUCUUUGUAUUCUUCUUCGUCUAUAUUUGUUAGUUUGCUGUACAUGCAUUCCAGGCAUAUGAAAUUGGGGUAAUUGUGGUUGAGUUUCAACCCUUACUGUUCUCAACCAAAAUAUUCCUAUUGGAAUCAGGAUGAUAAUCACAGCAGCACUUUUCGCAGCAUCAGCAGCCAUCUCACUAGUUAUGUUUUUAAAAGAUGAUGGCCUCCAG